RNAcentral lists this ribosomal RNA (460 nucleotides) under uncultured bacterium. RNAcentral's name for it is "partial 16S ribosomal RNA". It matches the Rfam family "Bacterial small subunit ribosomal RNA", at positions 338 to 795 of the family's 1533-position model. The record is from RNAcentral.
CCUACGGGUGGCAGCAGUGAGGAAUAUUGGUCAAUGGGCGUAAGCCUGAACCAGCCAAGUCGCGUGAGGGAUGAAGGUUCUAUGGAUCGUAAACCUCUUUUAUAAGGGAAUAAAGUGUGGGACGUGUCCUAUUUUGUAUGUACCUUAUGAAUAAGGAUCGGCCAACUCCGUGCCAUAAGCCGCGGUAAUACGGAGGAUACGAGCGUUAUCCGGAUUUAUUGGGUUUAAAGGGUGCGUAGGCGGCCUUUUAAGUCAGCGGUGAAAUUCUGUGGCUCAACCACAGCAUUGCCUUUGAAACUGGCAGGCUUGAGUUUGUUAGAGGUAGGCGGAAUGCGUGGUGUAGCGGUGAAAUGCUUAGAUAUAACGAAGAACACCGAUUGCGAAGGCAGCCUGCCAAGCCAUGACUGACGCUGAUGCACGAAAGCGUGGGGAUCAAACAGGAUUAGAUACCCCUGUAGUC